Molecule: ribosomal RNA, 253 nt
Filed under: uncultured bacterium
Lineage: Bacteria
Description: partial 16S ribosomal RNA
Rfam family: Bacterial small subunit ribosomal RNA
Source: RNAcentral
UACGUAGGGGGCAAGCGUUGUCCGGAUUUACUGGGCGUAAAGCGCGUGUAGGCUGCCCGGAAAGUCGGGCGUGAAAGCCCUGGGCUCAACCCAGGAACUGCACUCGAAACUCCCGGUCUAGAGUGGUGGAGAGGGAAGUGGAAUUCCUGGUGUAGAGGUGAAAUUCGUAGAUAUCAGGAGGAACACCAGUGGCGAAGGCGGCUUCCUGGACACCAACUGACGCUGAGACGCGAAAGCGUGGGGAGCGAACAGG